RNAcentral lists this non-coding RNA (24 nucleotides) under Arabidopsis thaliana (thale cress). Lineage: Eukaryota; Viridiplantae; Streptophyta; Magnoliopsida; Brassicales; Brassicaceae. The record is from RNAcentral.
UAUGCAAUGAAAGUGGAGUGGGAC